AACGCGAAGAACCUUACCUGGGCUUGAACCGCACAGGACCAUCUUUGGAAACAGAGACUUCCCGCAAGGGACCUGUGUAGAGGUGCUGCAUGGCUGUCGUCAGCUCGUGUCGUGAGAUGUUGGGUUAAGUCCCGCAACGAGCGCAACCCUUGUGAACUGUUGCUACCCGGCACCUUCUGGUUCCUGAAAAUCAGAUGGACUUCUAGGCGCUAGAAGGUGCCGGGGCACUCUGUUCAGACUGCCCUGUGAAACGGGGAGGAAGGUGGGGACGACGUCAAGUCAGGAUGGCCCUUACGCCCAGGGCUGCACACGUACUACAAUGCUCAGUACAGAACGAACCGAAAUCGCGAGGUGGAGGAAAUCACUAAAACUGAGCCCAGUUCGGAUUGUAGGCUGCAACUCGCCUACAUGAAGCCGGAAUCGCUAGUAAUGGCGUAUCAGCUACGACGCCGUGAAUACGUUCCCGGGCCUUGUACACACCGACUGUAC
RNAcentral lists this ribosomal RNA (489 nucleotides) under uncultured bacterium. Its description in RNAcentral is "bacterial SSU rRNA". It matches the Rfam family "Bacterial small subunit ribosomal RNA", at positions 958 to 1399 of the family's 1533-position model. The record is from RNAcentral.